RNAcentral lists this long non-coding RNA (714 nucleotides) under Homo sapiens (human). Its description in RNAcentral is "HSALNT0327727". Lineage: Eukaryota; Metazoa; Chordata; Mammalia; Primates; Hominidae. The record is from RNAcentral.
GUCCAGGCAACAUCUCCAUGGUUGGCUUGUCUGGCGGAGUAAGCUGUGCCCUCGGCGCGGGUAUCUUCAGGAGACAGAGCUCCUGGCUGCAGCGAGCCGGGACUUGCCGCGCCCCGGGGCUCCCUCAAUCAGACCCAGCCAGGCAAGCGCGGCCACAUAGGCAAGCGCGGCCACAUAGGCUAGACGCACUAUCUUCUCCUCUACCCCGCGCCGCCCUCCACCUCGGAGCGGGGACGUACGGUGGUGGCGGUGACACAAUGCGAGUGAGUGGGUCAUCUGCAGUUUUUUGUUGUUGUUGAUGAUCUUCCUGUCAUAGACAAUGCUGUAACAAACAGACUAAUUGUUCACUGUUGACAUAUAGAAGUACUACUGAUUGGCCAGACAUAGUGGCUCAUGCCUGGAAUCCCAGCACUUUGGGAGGCCAAGGCAGGUGGAUCACUUGAGCCCAGAAGUUUGAGACCAGCCUGGGCAACAUGAUGAAACCCCAUCUCUACAAAAUAAAUAGAAAAAUUAGCUGGGUAUGGUGGCAUGUGCCAGUAGUCCCAGCUACAUGGGAGCCUGAGGUGGGAGGACGACUUGAGCCCAGGAGGUGGAGGUUACAGUGAGCUGAGAUCAUGCCACUGCACUCCAGCCUGGGUGACAGAGUGGGACUCUGUCUAAAAAAAAAAUUGUAUUAUCUGUAAACGGAAAUAUAAAUAAUUUAACUUCUUCUUU